UGGGGAAUAUUGCACAAUGGAGGGAACUCUGAUGCAGCGACGCCGCGUGAACGAAGAAGGCUUUCGAGUCGUAAAGUUCUUUUAUAUGGGCAGAUAAUGACGGUACCAUAAGAAGAAGCCCCGGCUAACUACGUGCCAGCAGCCGCGGCAAUACGUAGGGGGCUAGCGUUGUCCGGAAUCACUGGGCGUAAAGGGUUCGCAGGCGGAAAUGCAAGUCAGGUGUAAAAGGCAGUAGCUUAACUACUGUAAGCAUUUGAAACUGCAUAUCUUGAGAAGAGUAGAGGUAAGUGGAAUUUUUAGUGUAGCGGUGAAAUGCGUAGAUAUUAAAAAGAAUACCGGUGGCGAAGGCGACUUACUGGGCUCAUUCUGACGCUGAGGAACGAAAGCGUGGGUAGCAAACAGG
RNAcentral lists this ribosomal RNA (403 nucleotides) under bacterium. Its description in RNAcentral is "partial 16S ribosomal RNA". It matches the Rfam family "Bacterial small subunit ribosomal RNA", at positions 355 to 776 of the family's 1533-position model. The record is from RNAcentral.